UGUGAUGAAAAUGAAUGAGGAUGACUUUACGUAGAGAGUGUGUAAAAACCGAGUGGAGUAAAGUGAAUUGCAGUGACGUGAAGUGCAGUGAAGUGCAGUGCCAUCGAGUGUGGGGCACCGUUACCCUACAGUGCCCCGCGCCACACCUCAGGGGUGGCUCGUGGUCCUGCACCAUGAUGCCGCCCCGCCCGUUGGAGUCUGGCGGAGGCGGUGCGGGGUUAUGUCGGGACUGCCUCAAGUAUGCCGUCCACGCUCCCUGCCCUUCUCGGCUGGAGAGGGUGUGGGUGUGUGGAUGGGCAGAAAGACCACUGAGCCUUAGACGUGACCCUGUGCCACUGAGGCCAGGCUCCUGCCGUCCAUAAGCUGACCUGCUGCCUGGCGGAGGCCUCGGCGCCGGCUGGCCAGCGUGGAGGCACCUGCUUGGUCUGAUCUUCAGUGUUGGUAAGUACCAUGCACAGCUCAUCGCGGGACAGCGUGGGACAGCGCGGGACAAGAGGAAUGGCAGCAAGGAAAGUGACGAGGUUCCGUUCCUUGGUUAGGGCUCGGCUAGGAUGCUAACCUCACUCUUGUCUUUCAGGGACUAAAUAAUGUUGACCAAGUCUUUCCAGGCAUCCUUUGACUCCUAGCACAGUGUGGAAUGGGAGGAACACAUGAAGAAACGGUAACCUAUCUCUUCUUGCUAUGCUGUUUUUCCUCUGCUAAGCUCCAGGAAAAGUAAUGAUAAAAGAGAGAAGAAAGAAAAAGAGAAGAGAGAAGGUAUGAGAUCAGAGGAAAGAGAGAGAAGGAACCAUGGAACUAGAAAUUGCUGUUAUUUGAUCAGAACAAGAAAAAAAGGAGCAGGACGAGGAAGAGAGAAAAAUAGCCUCCAUGUCCUUCAUUAUAUUGGAAAUCAGAUCAAGAAAAAGAAGUCUCGGCAGAUAUAAAAACGAGAUUCUUCUCAUGUAAGGGUGAAAGCAGCUACAUAUGAAGGCCUGAAGAGAAUUACAUAGAAUUACAUAGAAAAUCAGACCACACAGACCCCAGAGAGAGAGAGAAAAAGUGGUUGAAAUAAUCUGUAGGCCCG
This is a long non-coding RNA of Eriocheir sinensis (Chinese mitten crab), 1063 nucleotides long. RefSeq lists it as uncharacterized. The transcript has 4 exons. The record is from RefSeq and is a predicted model, not a curated record. NCBI's taxonomy places the organism in Eukaryota, Metazoa, Arthropoda, Malacostraca, Decapoda, Varunidae.